RNAcentral lists this long non-coding RNA (33138 nucleotides) under Durio zibethinus. RNAcentral describes it as "long non-coding RNA (DZIB_LNC001256)". Lineage: Eukaryota; Viridiplantae; Streptophyta; Magnoliopsida; Malvales; Malvaceae. The record is from RNAcentral.
CCACCAAACUCCUCCAAUCACCAAUAUUACCACCAUCACUGCACCUUGUUCUUCAUCUUCCUCAUCCGAGAAAUCUUCACCAAAAGGAGCUAACAAGAGUACUCUCUCUUUGAGUUCUCCAAAUGUCAUCGAUGUUUCCAACUCUCCGACUGCUUCUGUGAACCAGACCUACUUUCAUCAACCUCAAAACGAAUUCUUGAACGAGCCCUUUUUCUUUCCUGUCCAACAGACUGCUGCAGUAGCCGGAUUUACACAAGGGUUUGGCUUCUCCGAGCUAACCAAUGUGAUUCAAGUCCCUGAUCAACCAGUUGGACCCUGUACAAGUCUAUUGUUGAGUGAGAUAUUGAGCCAUGGGGCUUCAAGGAAAGAACAUGAAGAAAACAUGAAGAUGCAGCUCCAGCUUAGUUACACUCUGACCAAUGCUCCUAGUACUCAAAAUAUUAUUCCUCCCACUGCUUCCACCAGUACUACAAGAACUGUUCCAUCUAAUAAUCACCCCAUUCAAGGUAUAAAUUUUCAAUUUUCUUUAUUUCUUUCACAAUGAAGGAUGUUAAUAUAAGAUUUGUCUUUAUUAAUAGACACCAAUAUUUGAUGGGCCGGUUCAUUUAUGCACACGAGGGGAGAAUAUUUGGGUCAUAUGUGGUAAAGAACGGGGAUAAAAUUGUCAUUUAGGAGCAGGAUUUGCGAUCAUUAUCUUUAGAUGGACGUGUGCAUGGGUUGUUCUCUCUGAAAUUGACUACUGCGGUUGGUUUUAUAUAUACUUAAAUGUUGAUUGUUGAGUCAUGAUUCUCUGCAUGUUGGCAGUUGUUGGGGAACCGGGUGCAGUGGAACCUGCAAGUGCGGCUAAAUCGACGGUGUUUAUCAAUGAUGUAGCUUUUGAAGUGGCUGUGGGGCCCUUCAACGUGAGGGAGGCUUUUGGUGAUGAUGCAAUCUUGAUCAACUCCGCUGGUCAACCUGUUCUCACGAACGAGUGGGGGUUAACGCUUCAGUCUCUUCAACAUGGUGGAUUUUACUAUCUGGUCCGCUCGUUUAGCCCCUUCUCCCUAUAAUGAAGGUGACAAACUUUGAAAAUAAAAAACUCCCCUUAAAAUUUGUUUACUGUCAUAAAAUAUACAUAGUAGUAUGUAAUGUGCAUGACAGCUUAUUAUACGAAGAAGCUGAAGGGCCUUUCCUGGUGUAAAACCUGGAAGUUUUUGCUUACCAAUUAAGUUUGUUGAUUAGUUUAUGUUUUUUUCUUUUUCUUUUUUUCCUUGAAUUGCAGGUUUAGAAAUAUGUGGAAAUGGAUGACAUAGUUUGGCUGACACUGUUCCUUCUCUUUCUUGCUCGUUUCACUCUGAUCUCAAGGUUGAGAUUUAGCUUUAGGUAUAGUCCUUAGGGCUCUAUAUAUUAUAUAUGGAUGCAUUUGGAAUAGUAUGAAAAAACUGUGGACCAAUGUAAUCUCUAAUUUUUUGUUAAGGCAAUAUAUAUGGAAUAUGCAACUAGUAUUUUACUUUUAAUAUGCAUGAAAUUAUAACCGUAGAAGCUGUUAAACCCUACUAUAUAGCUAAUAAGUAAUAUAAUUUCAUGAUGAUCAUUUCUUUGCUAUAAAGGUUGCUAAAACCCAUUAUUUUAAUAGUGACUCAAGGAAUAUUUGCAGGUUGAUUAUAAUGUUUUCAUUCCCUAUAUUUAGGGUUUAGUACUUUUCCAAGAUAAAAUGAAUGGAUGUCUUUUUUUUUUUUUUUUGGUGCAAUUGGCAAAUUAAACAGAAAGAUUUUAUAUCAAAACCUAUUACUACAACGUGGGGCAUGUCAUAGCAGCCAAACAUUGAUAUGAACCUCCUAAUUGUUUUGCUUGGAAGUAAUCUCAUCACUGAGCAAUUAAAGUUCGUAACCACCCAAUUAACAUAGGGUAAUUACCUCCUCGAUGGCCAUGAACAAAUUUGAAAGCCGCUUUGACUUUCUUAAUUUCUAUACCAUUCAGCAAGCCAAAAAAAAAAAAAAACCUUAACUUCCAGUUUUGUCAAGCAUAUCAAUGCAAGGCAGCUGUAGUUCAUGCAUGCACGACUCAGUGCUAUAUAUUAUUAUUGAAAAUAAUUAAUUAUUGAGCAACCAAGUUUAUUAAUUAUAAAGGGAGCGCAUCGAGAUUUUUUAUAUAUUUAAAGUUAUUAAAAAUUAAAUUAUUUAAAAAUUCAUCAUUCUAUUAAACAUGACAAGUAAUCAUUGAUAAUCGAAUUUAAUAUAAAGACGGUUUAAAAAUUUGCACUGUAAACCCUAUGAAAAUUCUGUAUAUAUAGAUCAGAGAAAAAGAUGAUAAAUAAUCAAAUACUAUGUUCUGUUGGCUUUUAAAUUUGUCUUUACUUAUUUUACACGAUAAAUUUUGGAAAGAGUUUCCAUUUGGUCCAUCUGUAACUCGGAAAUAGGGUUUUACUUAGGAUUCACCCAACGUCAAACAACCUAUUCAAAGCCAAUCUGUUAUGUUAGAGCGACCAAAUACUUAUUGUUUCAAACCAUUUUCUCUGAAAGAUUGAAACCCUGACACCCAACAAGGGUUGGUUGGUCUGUAAUAAUUUCCUGUUGUUUUUCAUAUUUUAACAAUGAGCUAGCUAUGAUCAGAUGACUGGUUAAAGGAGGGUGUCAUUUUUGGUGCUGAGUGGUGCAGAUUUUUGACGUGCACUCUGGUGAGAACAGUGCUAACCCCACCCUUCAGCCCUCACCCUUUCGAUUUGACAAAGCGAGUUGCAUCUAUCAAAAAAGAAAUUGCUCCCCCUUUUCUAGCUCCUAAAAUUCCCCCACUAUACGUCACAUUUCGUAAAAAUCACUGUGUUUUUUUAGUAUGAACCAUCACCAAUGAUAAUCAUGACAAACUUGGAUUCCAAAGUGAAUGGAGAAAGAAGCAAUGGCUGUACAAAGUCAAGAACUUGAGCCCCUCCCCCCCCCCCCCCCUUCUUUUUCUUUGCUGGUGGCAGCUUGGGGAGGGUUCCAGUCUUCCAGAGGCUGAGAAAUGGGAGAUCUAUCAUUACAAGACACGUGGCGUAAGCAGAUUGGUCAGGUUAAUCUUUACAUACCCACCCGUGGGAAUUAGGUGUUUCAAUAGUAGGUUUGAUUGGAUUGUUCUGGUCUUUCUGCACAGGACUUUUGUCCAAGUAUGCUGCAAAUUGUAAACAAAACAAACAUUGGUAGGCUGCUGCUAUGCUAAGCUAUGCAGGCUAUUCAUCCGCCAUGAAAAGCACGUAAUGGGGCACAAUGCAUAACAUUUCUGCUUGCAUGACAAGACAAAGAUUACAUUACAUUUUUCUUUUCAAUCAUGAAAGCUUUUUCUCUGUUCAAGUCUUCCAGAUGAUGUAGACAAGUUAUUGGUCAGAAACAGAAAUAAAUUUUCAUUUUUUCUAGGAUAUUUAAUAAUUAGGUUAUCAAUGUAUUCUGAUUUGUGGGUUAAGAAGAAAGUUGGAAAUGAGUUUCUUUUUCCACUAAAUGUUUAGGUUGAGAAGAAAACUGUCUGAUUCCGAUGGUUGCGUUGGGCUCUGAGUCCAUUGAUCCGAUAUUUCCCUAAGUUUUUCAACAUGGAAUGGCCCGGUUUGAUUCUAGCUAUGGGCUACUCCGGUUGUGGCUCAUUAGGCGGAACAUGCGACAUUGCUGACCAACCCAAUUUUCUAUGUCCGUACUCCUUUUAUGUUUCUUUGAUUAGAAGUAUAAAAUAUAAAUCAUUUUCUUUCUUGAAUUCUUUAAGAUGUUCUUUCUUUCACGUUACAAACUCUGAGACACUAAUAUUGAUUUAAACUAAGACAUAAUAUUUGAUAUAACGCAAAUUUAAAAUUUUAAUUAUAUAAACGAAAUUAAUAAGAUGAUAUUUGUUUUAUUUAAUUUUUAAAUAUCUUAUAAAAAAUAUAUAUAUCAUUUUAUUAAUUUUAUUUAUGUAAUUAAAAAUUUAUAUUAAUAAUAUAUCUAAUACUAAUUUUUAAAUUAAAAUUUAUUUUAUUUUAAUUGGUGUUACUAAAACAUUUAUUAAACAAUUUAUGUUCGUGAGAAAGAAAAAAAAAACUCAUGACAUUAGUAGGUAUGUUUCCUAGAUUUAGUAUAAUUAAUGAUGAUUGAUUAUGCCACUAAAGUUGGAAAUUAAUUUGUUUCUUUUCCUUUUUCCCAUACCUUCCUCUUUCAUGAUUUUAGGCAAAGGCUGUUAGUCGUAACAAAAAUAUCUAAAACGUAAGAAACCAACUACUUGUUUUUUAUGUAUUACAUGUUUCGUUUAAAUUGAUGAUAGGAUAGAUUUUUACCGUAUCGACUGUCAUUUUUACCAUUAAAUUGUUUAAUAAUAAAACGACAUUUUUAAUACCGUAACAAUCCGGCCACCAUCCGAAGCAGAUGUCAUUCCAAUUUUUUUAAAAAAUUUAUAUCCUUUUCAUAGUCCCACGUUUAACAAUUCUAUGUACAUUAACGACCGAUGGAAAAGUAUUUGAUAAAGAAAUUUGUUAUUUGAUGGAGAAAAGCAUGAAUGACAACGAAUGUUUCAAUUUAAUUGAAUUUUAAAUAGUCAAAAAAAAAUUCCUUUGAUCUAAUCAAAAUUUGUGUCCUUAGAUCCACAUAUCAUAUAUAUCUCUAGAACAAGAAGAAAAAAAAAAAAAGACAAGAUUCAACAUGUAGUUUAAUAAUGUACACUUCUUUUUUACCCGUGGUAAAAAAAAAAAAAUCAAAUCUAGUUUUUUCAAUCAAACAAAAGGGUAAAAAAAGUUGUAAGAAAAAGGUUGGAGGGGUAAAAAGUAACAGAAAUUGGAAUCUGCAAAAUCUGGUGAAAAGAGGUUAAUUUUGGGUUAAUCCACCACCAGACAUUAUAAUCAUAGUCAUUUGCCUACUAAAGAUUUCAAGCUUUUUUUUUUCUUCACACCUUCCCAAACCCAGAACCAAAAAAAAAAAAAAAAAAAAGCUAACCUUAACAAUUUACAAACCCAAAAUAACAAGAAAAAAAAAACGCGUUUUUUUUUUUUUUGGUUUUUAUUUUCCUUUUUAAAUAUUUUUGACCCCAAUUCAAAGACAACAUUGGACGACAAAGAAGAGGGAACAAGAGCAAGAAGAGAAAGAGAAAGAGAAAGAAUAAAAAAAACAUAAGAGAGAAAUGGGAGCUUACAGGGCGGAUGAUGACUACGAUUACUUGUUUAAGGUUGUCCUGAUCGGUGACUCUGGUGUUGGAAAAUCCAACCUUUUGUCUAGAUUUACAAGAAACGAGUUUAGCCUUGAAUCUAAGUCUACUAUUGGGGUUGAGUUUGCCACCCGUAGCAUUCAUGUUGACGAUAAAGUUGUUAAAGCUCAGAUUUGGGACACUGCUGGACAAGAAAGGUAUUCAUCUCUUGCCAUUCCUUUUUGGGUGCAGAUCUUGAUUUGGGUUUCCUUAUUUACGCUUUGUUUUUGCUUGAUUUGAGGGUUUGGAUCUUUUUUUUGGUGUUCUCUGAAUGUUGGGAUCUUGCAAAAUGGGAAAUUAGUGAUAUUUAGUUCCUGCAAGUGAAUAAAUUGUAUCAUGUUUUUGGUUAAUUCAACACAUAUGGGAUUUCAAUUGGAAAUAAGAGAUUGCCUUGUUAAACGAAAUUGCUUGCUUGGCUAUUAAUUCUUGUCAUGGUACUGAAUAUUGAUGGAAUAGAACAUGACUAGCCUGAUAUUUUUUAUAGAGUUGUGGAUUAUAAUGUCUGAAUCACCCACAAUUGGAAACUGGACUUUCUGUUGUAAUUCGGUUCCUUGCUCUGUGUUGUGUAUUGGUAGCCACUUUUUUGUUCCAUCGCUGGAGUGAUUACAUUGCUAAAUUGGUAUUAAAAUUUUAUGUCAAUGUGGCUUAUACCGCAUAUUCUUGUAGAUCACCAUGCAAGAAGCUUUCUUCUUCUUUUUUCUUUCGCUUUGUUGACUGUUUGUUGUUUAGGCAGUUCUGUAAGCUGUUACUGCUAUUGGGGUAAGUGUGCUUUAAUCAGCUGUCUUUACUCUUGAAACUUACUUACAAUACAAGCGUUGGAGAGUGACCUUUAAUCCUGGCUUACCAAAGAAACGCUUUAAAGAAGACGGAAAAGAUUGCAUUUUUAUAUAAUUCCCUGCAGUAUGAUAUGAUAUGACUUGUUUGUCUUUUCUGGAUCACCCUUUUACAAAUAUCUUGAUUUUUUUUUUGUUCUGAAUUUGGUGCAAAUCAUGAAGCAUUAGGAAUGUUCAUCUAAUCUUUCUGUCUACUCUCUUUUGCCAAAGAUAUCGUGCAAUAACCAGUGCAUAUUACCGUGGUGCUGUUGGUGCUUUAUUAGUCUACGAUGUCACCCGUCAUGUUACAUUUGAAAAUGUAGAAAGGUGGUUGAAGGAACUUAGAGAUCACACUGAUGCCAACAUUGUGAUUAUGCUAGUUGGGAACAAGGCAGACCUGCGUCACUUGCGAGCAGUUGCCACCGAAGAUGCCAAAGCUUUUGCCGAACGAGAGAACACCUUUUUCAUGGAAACAUCUGCACUAGAGUCUCUGAAUGUUGAGAAUGCCUUUACAGAAGUGCUGACCCAGAUUUAUCGUGUUGUAAGCAGGAAAGCUCUUGAUAUCGGAGAUGACCCAGCAGCUUUACCCAAAGGCCAGACGAUCAAUGUUGGAUCAAAAGACGAUGUAUCAGCCGUGAAGAAAGUUGGAUGUUGCUCAGUUUAAGCACGUAGAAGAAGUCUUAGAGAUAUUUAUCUUUGAAAUCUUAUGCCUUUGUUCACAUCUACAUAGAAGUUUUUCCUGACAGCAAAAAAAGGCGAACAUCAACAAUGUAUUAACCAGUUGACAUUGUGCUUUGCAUCAUGCUAAACACCAGUCGUCUAUGUUAUCUUCAACUCUAGGACUUAAGAUUAAUGGUUUACGUUGCUUUUCUUUGUUAAGCUCAAACAUUUUACUUUUGAUUCCUUCUUUGUUCAUUGCUUUAACCGCUAAACCAUCUUUAAUUAUGUAUGGUUCAAUUCGUUUUGAAUCAUUGCCUGACGAUUGGCUUUUGAUGGAACGCCUAAAUAAUAUGCUUUGAGCAUGUGAUGCAGGAGGUAAAUCGUAUAUGAUAUGGCAUCUUGUUUGGUCUGCAGAUGCCAGAUUGACAAUUAGUCUUAUACAUUUUCGUAAAAGAUUAAAACUACUCUCUUUUUCGACAUUGAUGGGUGCUUAUAUGAUGACUCCGAUCAUCUUAUUUGCCAUAGUUUCACAAGAAAUGAAUUGGUUUGAUCUCCUGGUUUAGCCGAACAUAGCUGUGUACUGUGAAGAUUUGCUUGCAAGGCGUAUCCCUCUGAGGAAGAACGCUGUUUUGAAGACUUGGAAUGAAGUUUGGUUAAUAUCUUUUGUUUUUCAACAAGGAAGCUGGUAAAAUCGUUUUUUCUGCAGAAAUUAAACAGAUGAACCACCCUUUUCUCUGCGUAGUUGAUCCUUUUCUUUCUUAAAAGGAAUGAAGACAUAGAAACCAUGAAAAUAAAAACUUAAAAACCGCGAGGUUGGCAGGCUGCAACAGAUAAAUACCUGAAGAAAAAUUUACACCAUACUCUGUAAGAAGAUAAGAGCAUCUGUGAACAAGACAAGCAGCUUAAAUAAAAAGUUCUAAAGACUCCAUUUUCAUUAAGAUCCCGUCACACUUGGCACAAAAUUGAAGCAAAAACUAUGAUGCAGUAUACACCACAAUCCCCUCCAAUUUCAGUUGUCAUAACAGCAGUUUCGGCGGCUUUUCUUCCUGAUCAACAUGGCCUCUCCAAAAGUUAAGUUCAUUCUGGAUCAACAGUGGAAAAACGAAGCAUAUCCACCGUCUAGAAAAAAAAAAAGUUGGCAAAAUUCAGAACAAUGAACAAUUAUAGUACGGAUAAGACAAGUAAAAUGCAUGUCCGUUGAGCAAAGUCAACUAGCAUAUUCUUGUUUUGCUGCACCUCCCAAAAUUGUGCUCUUGACCAAUUGUACUACUUCCAAAUUUAAGUGGAUUAUAACUAUGAAAUUAAAAAAAAUAUACAAAUAACAUCGUAGGAAAACAUGAGGUGGAAGAAUUGAGCAUAUACCACUAUCAGAAAGACAGCCAGCUGAAAUUUUUUGAAAGCUUGUGAGUUAGAGCACUGCAUCCUUGAAAUCUAAAAUGCUAUUUCUUAUUAAUAAAUAAAAUAAAAAGGAAUUCUCUAAUUUGGUUUACAUUCUAAUUCCAAUUCAAAUACUAAAAAGAAAAAAUUCAGUAUCCCAUGAGUGUGAACAAAUCAAUCAUAUUCAGAGCUCAAAAAAAAAAAAAAACAGAUACAGAACCAAAACUAGAGAAGAAACCUAAUUCAAGCGCCGCAAUUAUCAAGUCAAACACCCAACAAAGAAUGGCACAAGAAAAAGUAAAUACUACUAACCAGAAGAUUGAUGAAGCGUCGAAGAUCACUUUGUAUUAUCAUUUUUAUCAGAAUCAGACUUGAAAGAGGGAAGAGGAUUAGAGCCUUUGAUGAUCCAACCAAGGGCAAAAAACGAAACCCCAGCCAGAAUUGCCGUGCCCCAGGCGUGAGAGUACCAUUUACUGUACUGUCUGAUGGCAUACCUCCAUUGAUCUCUCAGAGUUGAGGGGUCCGGGUUUGUUAGGUCGGGUGGGUUAGGGUAACGAACCUUUUGAUGGCCCGAGAAAUCAGAAGCCAUGCUUUUACCGAUUUCGGGGAUUGAUUUAGAAGAAGAAGAAGAAGAAGAAGGAUGGGGAGGCGGGUUUUGAGGGGAUUCGGGCUUCCUGUGUUCUGACAUGAUUAUCACUUGGGGCAGCUGAACUUCGACUUUGAGAGCAGAUCUUUGUUUGAAAGCAAACAAGGACUAGAGAGACUGAAGCGUUACAUAUCACUUCGACGUUUUUAGUGCCAGCUGUGUCGUUGAGCACACGUGGCAAUUAAGCAGAUUAUUUGCCUCUUAUCUUUUUUCUUUUUUUGUACGGCUCUUAUCAAUUGUCCAGUAAUAGUAGCUGUUAAUAUUUUGGUGAUUUUCAUUGUCAGCUCGACCAGAGGAAAUGCACGAUCGUUUUUUUUUUUUCUUUAAUAUACUCAACGCUGUCUCUGCUUAGCUUUGGGAUCGAGCCUUGGCCCUAGAGGCCCUCAUUUUUUUUUGCUUCUCAAAAUAGAAAGAGCAUUCCCUGCCUUUUACUCAAUUGCCCGAGUGUCUACUUCGACAAUGAAUCCUUGGUUAUUAAACUAACAAUGAUUCCAUCACAGCCAGUAAAAUUUGCGGUCCAUAAUAAAAUCUAUUUACUUGAAAAACCACAACAGAAUUGUCAAUUUAUGUGACACCAAAUGGAAUCUAUCGUCUAAAUUAUAUAUAUGUCUGUGUAGUGAGCAACACUUUUAAGAAAAAAUAUGUUGAAUAUAAACUUCAGGUCGCACAUGAACACUUGUUGUACGUGAAGUUUUGUAGGAAAGUCAUUUACGAGCUUCUACCUUCUUCUGCUCCUUGGCUGAAACAAUUAAAUAUGAAUGUUCAUCAAUUUCAAAAAUGUUUGAUACCAGAACACAAGAAAUAAUCGUGGUGGCUCUAGAGUCUUACCAGCCUUUUCCUCUUCUCGUUUUCUGGCAGCUUCUUCUCUCUGUUGACGUAUAAGGGCUAGGCGGUCUGUAUCACAAUAAAUCUCCAAAUGAGUCUUUUUCUUUCUUUUGUUUUUCCUUUCAAGGAAAAAUGGCAGUACAGCAUAAUCCCACAGUAAAGAACGUUGUAACAAUCACACAAAGCAUAACCAACUAGACUGAAUUAUGAAAAUUUUCAACUAAACAGAAGUGAUUAGAUAUAUACGCCAUUUUCUCUGUAAGUUAGGACGUGGGAAGCAAUUUGGCACAAUUAAGAUUUUAAAAGCACUCAGCUUGUUCAUCCUCCCACAGGCAAAUAUAUCUCCACAGUUUAAUGUACAAAAACUGCAGCCUCUUUAAGUAGUAUUUCAAGUGUUUAACCUACAGAAUUCAAAUCCUCGAACAUCUAACCAAGAUAACUUACGUUCAAAGUAGGUAGGGGCAAGGGUUGAUUAUAUAAGUAAUUUGAAGUAUGCGUGGCUAUAGUUAUUAUCUCAAAUGAUCAAAAUAGUAAGGAAUCAGAAGUUAGAUCUGCUGCUUAGCCCAUCUUCAUUAACUUGAUAGGAGGAGUAAGUCACGUGACAAGGGUAAGUUAAAGCAAUAUCUGUUUGGCUUACCCAAAUCUUUCCUUGCUUGUUCUGUUUUCCCCUGCUCUUGCAGCCUCAUAUAACGUUCAUGGGCUCUCUGCUUUUCUAAUUCCUCCCUAUAAACAAAUAGAAAAAGAUAUAAGAUGGAGCAUUCACACAAGAAAAAUAUAAAAACAUUAAAAAAGUUAUAGCUCAAGACAGAAGAAUAGACCCAGAAAUAAACCAUGUGAAAGCCAGAAAAUAAACUGAGUUAAAAGCAUCCAAAGCAGAAUUUAGAAGGAAAAGUAACAAGCAAUACAAACCUUUCACGCCUCGAAAGUUCAGUAGUUUUCCCAGUCUGUACAUGAGAGAACAAAAUCAAAACAUAAAUAAAACAAAAGUUAUACUAACAAACCAUCACUGAAACAAUUUAUAAGGGAGAUUUCAUGAAACUUACAUCAACAUCUCUAGCUUUCAAGUUCUUUGGCUUCACCAGAUUAGGAUUGUUGACCUCAAUAACACCUUGAGUUCCCUUGCGCUUUUGCUAUUGGUUUGCAAUAAGUAGUUCAUAUUCCGUAGUCAUCACAAAAAUAAUGAAACCCAUAUCCAAAAAAAAAAAAAAAAAGACAGAAAAAACCCAGUCAUGGUAAACUUAAACUUACUUCAGUUUCAUCGUCAGAUUCUUCUCCAGACUCCUGUCCAGAUUCCUCCUCAGAUUCUUCUUGCUCUUUGUAUUCUGCUUCUUGCUAACAACGUUAAAGAGUAAAGAGUGAGUUCUUAUAGUUUUAAAAAACACAUGAUUAUAGAACAUGUGCGUGAGGGCGUCCGCAAGAGAGAGAGUACCCGCUUAAAAGUGCGAGGACGAGAAGAGGUACCAGCAACUGCAAAAACAUAAAAUCAGAAACAAAACCAAACCAAAACACGGUUUCAUUCAGGCAGAUUGAUUUAAGAAGAAAGAGCAUCAGUUAACCGUAACCCUAAACCUAACUCAGACAAUGUCCUUCAUCAUCGCAAUCUUACUAGCAAGAAUUAACCUAAAUUUUACUCUAAGCAGAUAAUAUUAAAUUGAAAUAAAAAUCUAACUUUUUUAAGCAUAGUUUUUGGAAUUUUAUAUAUUCAAUAAACAACAGAAAUAAAAAAAAAAAAAAAAACUCAACCUGAUCAAAAUUUCACAAACUGAAUUAACAAAUUUGCGGUUUCAACUAUCUUUGUCAAUCAUAAAAUUAACGACGUAAAUACUUUGAUAAUUUCCAAUAAAAUCAUUAAAAAGAUCUGAAAUUUUUACUUUUACUCGAAUUUUCUAGGGAAAAUUAAACGAAACAAACAAAAAAAUUGAAAAAACAUUAGAAGAAGAAAUCUUACGCAUCUCUUCAGGAGUAGAAAAGUGGCGUUGACCGGUGGGCUUUGCCUUGAAUUUUCCUCUUCCCAUUGUUAAUUACAGAGACAAAACGAAAUAGCCGAACGAACCCGAACGGGGGCUUUUCUAAUCUUUAGGAUGAUUUUUCCAAGAGGAAAAAUAAAUAUACAAAAAUUCAGGGUUAUUGCUUUCGUUUGGCUUAUUCGAAGUGCCGGAGUGCGGUGGUUUUAGUGGCGUGGGGUUUUCUUCUGUGCGACUGAUUGUAUGGGAACCCUUUUUUCUUUUUUGUCGGUUAUGCGAAUCUGAGGCGUUUAUAUAGCUGAGAGAAUGAUCUGGCAGUGUACGUCGACUUGAUACGUAGUGGGCUCUACUUAUCUCUUUCAAAAGUAUAAUACUUUCUUUCAUAUCAAACAGGUGUCCAGGCUAAAAUACUAAAAAAAUCUUUCAAUUAUUUUAUUUUAAAAUAAUUUUAUAUAUUUACAAAUAAACAUUUAUCGAUCGAUUUUAUGUUCAAAUGUGUUUUUAUUUCAAAUUAAAGAUUAAUUUUAUGUUAACAGUUUAUUAAAAUUUAAAUUUAAAUUUUUUAAAUAUAAUAAAAAUAUAAAUAUUUAUAAAAAAAAGAUAAAAUUUAAUUAUUUAAAAACUCAUUUGAGUCUUAUUAAAUAAUUAAACUAUGAAUACAUCAUGUUUACAAUAUAGAAAACAAAUUUUCAAUUUUCCUUGCAACAUAUUUGAUAGGAGGAAAAGAAACAUUAAAUUACAGCUAGGAACUUGGAUAAGAAAAUGAAAGAAAUACUCAUAGUAGGGCAUGCAGCAUCUCAACAAAACCAUCCAUGUAAGAGUUUUCAAGGCCUGGUUCUGAAAGGAACUCUUUCCACUUAGCAUGGUUGGUCCUUGCCUCUUUCCCCAACUCACUAUCAUCAUCCAUUACAGCCUUCACUGCCUUGCAAACACCAUCCUUUGUAAAAAGUCCAUCUUCAUCUUUCUCGACUUCUACUCCAAUUUUCAAGUGUCCUGCCAUCAUUCUUGCAUUAAUUAUCUGGUCUCCAACGUUAGGUAACAGCACCAACUGACAAUCACUCAUCAUAGCCUCAGCCAAAGAACCAGAGCCACAGUGAGUCACGAAACACCCUAAAGAAGGAUGCCUCAAGAUCAGUUGUUGCGGCACCCAACCUCCAUGAACUAUUCCUCUUCCUUCUACUCGCUCCUGGAAUCCUUCUGGCAAUGCUGACUCAAUUGUUUCAGCUCCCAUUGGUGGUUUGAGGGCAACCAAGAAUGGCAAACCUGUAAGCUCAAGGCCUAAAACCAAUUCCUGGAACUGAUCUUUUUUGAGAACAAACUCACUCCCAAAGGCACAGAAUAUCAUGGUCUUAGCUUGAAAGCGGUUUAAUAACUUUUCCCAUCGUUCUUCUAACGCAAUUUUUGGUGGCUCUGGCACUACUGGUCCAGCAAAAAUCACUGGUUUUUCAAACAGGUUUCCAAUAUAUUCACAGUAAGGCCCUUCAAUCUCCCUACAUGUCUUGAAACCAAUAGCAUCACAGUCACUUAAAGACCUUAGCUGACGCUCUACAAAUGAAAUUCCACUUCCAUAAUCCAUUGUUGUUACAGCAGCUAAUCCUCGAGCUUCAUGGGUGCGUAGCUUGAUACUUGAAGAAGGGAAACCUUCAGGAGGCUCCAGGAGAUCAGACCCUGUCAAACCUUUCUCAAGAGUCUUUCUUGCUGGACUAAGAAGAUAGCCAAUAGUUGCAGAGCUAAUGAUACAAUACAGCACGGACUUGAUGCCAAGCCUGCGAGUCAAGGCUGGCAACCAGCAAGUGAAAUCAAAGAAAACGAAAUGGGGUUUUAGUUCUCGGAGGGAAGCUUCAAUAUCAGGUUCUGUGAGGUCCAUGGCGGUCAUAAUGAGAGGAUGCAAAGGGAAAGGAACAUCGUUUGUUGUUUCAGCGCCAAGAGGCAGACCUUCAACAUGUGGAACAGUGAUUGGAAUGAAGGUUAUGAGAUUCGGGUGGAGAUUGAAAGCCUCAACCUUGCACUGUGUUUUGGCCGGCAAGAAGUAGGAAAUUUUGUGGCCUCUCUCCGCUAGUUUGUUGGCCAUAUGGACAAAUGCAGUAAUAUGGCCAAGGGCAAACCAUGGAUACAUUGCAAUGUGAAAGGUUUUGUCUGCCAUUGUUGGUGUUGUGAUAAAUUGGUCCAAAAUUCCUAAUCAGCUAAUCGGAAAACAACUCGUGUCCCUCAAAUGCAAUCACUGCAUUGCUUAUAUACAAUGCCUGGAAAGUUAUGGUGCCUUCUGUUUCAAAAAUAUGCCUGGUUUCUUUGUUUCCGGUUUCUCGCAAAACAGAAAACUAGUACUCAAACUUCUGUUUGGUGACUAAUGCUGAAGGACUUUUUUAGAAAACGAAAACCAAAAUAUGCCACAUUUGGAGAACCAAAUAUUUUUCAUGCUGUCAACGAAAAUAUUCCCUUUUGCUUUUACUUCAAAAAAAGAAUUGUCAAAGUUAUUGCCCCAACCAACUUUUUGGCCUUGAUAAGUACUCUACAUAAAAGGAUGAUUUCGCUAUUUUAAUCCUAAUCGGCAUCAAACAGGAACAGUGUCAUGAGCCAACCUUGUAUAAGGCCAUGAUCGGGACUUAGGUUGCCAUGAGCCACCCAUGUAUAGAGCCAUGGCCGGGUAGACCCCUUGUGUUAGGAAAAGUGUCCCCAUUUCAAACAUUGUAACGGUUACUGGUAGCAUAGCUCUAAAAUCUCUAAGGCUCUUUAAAGGGGGUGAGCCGGCAAGGUAUUGUUGGGCUGUCUCACCGGGUGCUAUGCGAGCUUAGGCCACCCACCAUGGGCUGCCCCCUGGCCCUGGUGAUGGUGGGAGGUCCCGAUGUAUGAUUCCCGAUUUUAAUGAAAUUCGCCUCGAUUGAAUGCCCGAUUGUUGCCUCGAUGUGUUUCUUUUCUUUCUCAAUGUGAAUGUGCCUUGUUAUGUGUAUGGAUGAGAUUGAUAUUGAUAUAUUGUGCCUUAUUGUGAAUGCUUGAGACUAACCAUGGUUUAUGGUUAUUUGUUCAGAUCUCGAUCUAUUGAGGGCUGACUUGGGUGGAAGCGUCCAUUCAAGUGCCUCGCGGGCUAGUGCUUGUUGAAAGAAAGCUUAGUCCGUGACACGUGGUAUCAGAGCACGGUUGAGAAGUGCUAGAGAAAUGGAUGAGAUGGCCACAAGUGGUGGAUCGGAUCAUCAGCAGAGAAUUGAGGAACUUGAGGCCGCGGUGGCCGCAAUGAAAACUCAUAUGGUAACAAAAGAUCGAGUGAGGGAGAUCGAGACAACCCAGCGGGAGUUGUCCGAUACUCUCCACAAUGUGAGCGAAGAGGCUAGAGAUGUCUUGAACAUUCUCCACAAGGAGUUUGAGGAGCUCAGGGCCCAGAUGAGCAUCCUACAAAUGGCGGUGGCCAGUUCGGGUUCAAGCUCGACGGACAGGGGACAAAGACCCAAAGUGCCGGAGCCUCGGUGCUAUGAGGGGGCAAGGGAUGCUAAGGAACUUGAGAAUUUCCUGUUCGACAUGGAACAAUACUUCCGAGCUGUACACACAAGUUCAGAGGAAGACAAGGUGACAAUGGCAUCGAUGUAUCUCGUAGGGGAUGCCAAGUUGUGGUGGCGCUCCAAGUUUGUCGAUGACGAGUGCCCGAUUAAGACCUGGACGGAUCUGAAGCGUGAACUGAAAAACCAGUUUUUUCCGGAGAAUGUGGAUUAUAUGGCUCGAAGGAGACUUCGAGAGUUGGUGCAAACCGGAACGGUGCGAGAGUUCGUGAGGAACUUUUCUACCCUGAUGCUGGAUAUUAGGGACAUGUCCGAAAAGGACAAGUUAUUCCAUUUUAUUGAGGGCCUCAAGCCGUGGGCGAGGACAGAGCUACAGAGGCAAAGAGUGCAAGAUGUGACGACGGCCAUGGCUGCAGCGGAACGUCUUCAUGAUUUUAAUGAUGGUUCGUUAAAACGGAAGAACCCUCCACCAACUGGCAGUAGCUCUAAUCUUGGGAGUGGGGGAAAGAUAACUAGGUUGGAUCGACCCUUCAGUUGGGGAUCAGACAGGAGAUCCUUUGGGCGAGAUAGCACCCAGCCUAGGACAAACAACGCAGGGAUUUUCAAGCCUAGGCAACCGCUUGCUUGCUUUCUUUGCAAGGGGCCGCAUCGAGUGGCUGAGUGCCCGCACCGAGGAGCCCUUAAUGCCUUAAGGACCUCAUCCCAAGAGUCUGCAAAAGCACCCGAGAGCGUUGAAGAAGCUGAAGAGGAGCCAGCCAGGAUGGGCUCAAUAAGGUUCCUCAGUGCCCUUCACACCCAAUUGAACACUAUAAAGAAAGAACAAAGCAGAGGCUUGAUGUACGUGAACUUGACGAUCAAUGGGAAAGCCACCAAGGCCAUGGUGGAUACAGAUGCAACCGACACUUUCAUCACACCAGAAGAAGCAAAAAGGUGUGGUCUUCAGAUUAGUAAAGACUGUGGGUGAAUGAAGGCGGUCAAUUCGCCAGCCUUUGCAAUCAGUGGAAGCUCGAAAAGUGUGACAACCCAAUUGGGGCCAUGGAAAGGGAAGGUAGACUUCACAGUCUCCCCCAUGGAUGACUUUGAUGUCGUUCUAGGAUUGGACUUCAUGACGUUGGCUCAGGUGAUCCCUAUCCCCGCUGCUAGCUGCUUGUUGUUCUUAGGAGAACACCCAUGUGUGGUGCCAGCCAAUAUCUUGCCAAAGAGUGGGAAGAAAAUGAUUUCGGCUUUGCAAUUCAAGAAAGGGGUAAAGAGAGGGGAACCCUCUUUUGUGGCCAUGCCGAUCUACAAAGAAGGGUCAAAAGUAGAACCAAUACCCAAUGGCGUGAAGAAAGUGUUAGAAGAAUUCAGAGAGGUGAUGCCAGAGAUGUUGCCCAGGGUUCUACCCCCUCGACGAGCAGUGGACCACGAAAUUGAGCUACUCCCAGGGGCAAAACCCCCUGCUAGAGCCCCCUAUCGCAUGGCCCCGCCAGAGUUGGCCGAGCUGAGAAAACAGUUGGAUGAGCUUCUACAAGCCGGGUUCAUCCGACCAUCAAAGGCUCCUUUCGGAGCGCCAGUGCUAUUCCAGAAAAAGCAUGAUGGGAGCUUGCGCUUAUGUGUCGACUACAGGGCUUUGAACAAAGUCACCGUAAGAAACAAAUAUCCUAUCUCGCUCAUAGCAGACUUGUUUGAUCAAUUGAGCGGGGCCAAGUACUUCUCCAAACUGGACCUGAGAUCGGGAUACCAUCAGGUCAGAAUCCUCGAGGGAGAUGAGCCGAAGACCACCUGUGUAACACGGUAUGGUGCAUUUGAAUUCCUUGUUAUGCCUUUUGGACUAACCAAUGCUCCUGCCACAUUUUGUACAUUGAUGAAUCAGGUGUUUCAUGACUACCUAGACAAGUUUGUAGUCAUUUAUUUAGACGAUAUAGUGGUAUAUAGCUCCACGUUGGAAGAACAUCAAGAACACCUGCGACAGGUAUUUCAAAGGUUACAGGACCACCAGUUAUAUGUAAAAAGGGAGAAGUGUGCAUUCGCUCAGACCCAAAUCCAUUUUCUCGAUCACAUUGUCGAACGUGGCCACAUCCGAAUGGACAUGGAAAAAGUCAGGGCCAUCAAAGAGUGGACGAUACCGAAGAAUGUUAGUGAGCUCCGCUCCUUUUUGGGACUAGCCAACUAUUAUAGAAGGUUUGUGGAAGGGUACUCUCGUAAGACCACGUCCCUCACGGAGCUACUGAAGAAGGAACAUAAAUGGUGUUGGACGAACGAGUGCCAAGAGGUCUUUGAGGGAUUGAAGGAUGCUAUUAUGAAGGAUCCCAUCUUAGCUCUCCCCGAUAUUGGAAAGCCUUUUGUAGUCCAGACGGAUGCAUCAGAUUUUGCUAUUGGAGGUGUGCUUUUACAACAACAUCACCUGGUAGCAUUCGAAAGUAGGAAGCUGAGUGAAGCUGAAAGGAAAUACACAGCCCAGGAGAAAGAGCUCCUUGCGGUGGUUCAUUGCUUGAGGACUUGGCGGCAUUACUUGUUGGGUGCGCACUUUGUCGUGAAGAUAGACAACACAACCGUUAGCCACUUCCUCACCCAACCAAGACUCACGACGAAACAAGCUAGGUGGCAGGAAUUUUUAGCUGAGUUCGACUUUUAUUUUGAGCAUACCGCGGGAAAGACUAAUCAAGUGGCGGAUGCCUUGAGCAGGCGGCCAGAGUUAGCGGCCCUCAGAAGAAUGGCCCCAAUGGUGGCUAGCAGAGCCACUACAGACAUCCAUAAGUUGAUUGGAGAUCAUUUAGGGAAAGACCCGCAAGCCUGUGCCAUUUUGAAGCUAGUGGAAGAAGGGAAGUCCAAACAUUUCUGGAAAGAAAAUGGGGUCUUGUGGACCAAGGGACCUCGAGUCUUUGUGCCAAGAGCAGGAGGUCUGAGACAGAUGCUGAUGAGGGAGUGUCAUGACACCCCAUGGGCGGGACAUCCGGGCUGGCAGCGCACGUUGGCGUUAUUGAAACAAGGAUAUUAUUGGCCUCAAAUGCGACAAGAUGUGAUGGAAUAUACGAAGACUUGCCUCAUUUGCCAACAAGACAAAGUCGAGAAGAGGAAACCUGCAGGUAUGCUUGAACCUUUAUCGGUACCUACCAAACCGUGGGAAAGCAUCUCCCUCGAUUUCAUCUCGAGCCUACCCAAGGUUGGCGAUCUUGGAGCUAUCUUGGUGGUGAUUGAUCGGUUCUCUAAGUAUACCACAUUCAUUCCUGCUCCCAAGUACUGUACAGCGGAGGACACAGCUCGACUAUUGUUCAAACAUGUGGUCAAGUAUUGGGGCCUCCCCCAAAACAUUGUCAGUGAUAGAGAUCCUAGAUUCACGGGGUCUUUUUGGAGAGAACUUUUCAAGAUUUUGGGGUCCCAACUCAACAUCUCCUCGAGCUAUCACCCUCAAACUGAUGGCCAAACAGAGCGGUUCAAUGGAUUGUUAGAGGAAUACUUGAGGCAUUUUGUCCACGCCAACCAAAAGAACUGGCCCUCAUUAUUGGACGUUGCUCAACUCUGUUUUAAUUCCAACAAAAGCUCUUCCACCAACAAGAGCCCAUUUGAGGUGAUCACCGGACAAUUACCAAGGCUACCCCACACUUCCUUGGAACAAUAUGGAGGAAAGAAUCCCAGAGCAUUCAACCUCAGCAAGGAGUGGAAACAAAACACGGAGAUCGCGCAAGCCUACUUAGAGAAAGCGUCAAAACGGAUGAAAAAAUGGGCAGACAAGGGUCGUAGAGCUCAACAAUUUCAGGUUGGGGAUUUGGUUCUUGUUCGAUUAGUCCCUGAACAAACCAGGUUCUUGAGGAAGAGAGAUCGUAGAUUGGUGCGCAAGUACGAAGGUCCAGUAAAGGUCCUUUCCAAGGUGGGGAAUGCUUCCUACAAAAUCGACCCUCCAAAGUGGAUGAAGGUGCACCCAGUAUUUCAUGUGAGCAACUUGAAGCCAUUCCAUGCAGAUCCUACAGAUGCUGGUCGAAGAGAGCCAACCAGAGCCGCCAUCACCAUGAAACCACCCUCAGAGCGUCGAGUCCAAGAGAUCUUAGCUGACAGGGAAACCAAGAUAUCUCGAAGACUAGUUCGGGAGUACUUAGUAAAGUGGGAGGGACUAGGCCUAGAAGAAACCAGCUGGGAGAGAGAGCACGACCUCCAGAGAUUUCAAAGGAAGAUCGAAGAAUUUCAAGCCAGCAAGUCGACGAGGACGUCGUUAGAAUAGGUGGGGGAGGAUGUCAUGAGCCAACCUUGUAUAAGGCCAUGACCGGGACUUAGGUUGCCAUGAGCCACCCAUGUAUAGGGCCAUGGCCGGGUAGACCCCUUGUGUUAGGAAAAGUGUCCCCAUUUCAAACAUUGUAACGGUUACUGGUAGCAUAGCUCUAAAAUCUCUAAGGCUCUUUAGGGGGGGUGAGCCGGCAGGGUAUUGUUGGGCUGUCUCACCGGGUGCUAUGCGAGCUUAGGCCACCCACCAUGGGCUGCCCCCCUGGCCCUGGUGAUGGUGGGAGGUCCCGAUGUAUGAUUCCCGAUUUUAAUGAAAUUCGCCUCGAUUGAAUGCCCGAUUGUUGCCUCGAUGUGUUUCUUUUCUUUCUCGAUGUGAAUGUGCCUUGUUGUGUGUAUGGAUGAGAUUGAUAUUGAUAUAUUGUGCCUUAUUGUGAAUGCUUGAGACUAACCAUGGUUUAUGGUUAUUUGUUCAGAUCUCGAUCUAUUGAGGGCUGACUUGGGUGGAAGCGUCCAUUCAAGUGCCUCGCGGGCUAGUGCUUGUUGAGAGAAAGCUUAGUCCGUGACAAACAACCUGUAGAAAGAACCGAUAUUGUAUUCUAAACAAAUAAUACACCGAUAUUGUUACGAUUCUAGUACUUUAUUAUUAACUUGAAAAGUGGAACACUUCAUUAAAAUUCAGGAAAUCAUCACAUCAUUGCAUGCAACUUCUCAACAAAACGAUCAAUGUAGGAGUUUUCAAGCCCGUUGCCUAAAAGGAACUCCCUCCAUUUGGCAUGGUUUGCCCUGGCCUCUUUCCCCACCUCACUAUCAUCAUCCAUCACGGCCAUCACUGCCUUGCAAACAUCGUUCUUUGAGAAAGUUCCAUCUUCUGCACCUUUCUCAACUUCUACUCCAACUUUCAAAUCUCCAGCCAUCAAUCUUGCAUUAAUUAUCUGAUCUCCAACAUGAGGCAAUAACACCAAUUGACAAUCAUUAACCAUAGCCUCUGAUAAAGAACCGUAACCACAAUGGGUCACGAAACAUCCCACAGAAGGGUGCCUCAAGAUCAUUUGUUGUGGUACCCAAUCCCCAUGAACAAAUCCUCUUCCUUUUACUCUCUCUUGGAAUCCUUCCGGUAAUGCUGACUCAGUUGUUUCAGCUCCCAUUGGUGGUUUCAGGGCAACUAAGAAUGGUAAACCUGUAAGCUCAAGGCCUAAAACCAAUUCCUGAAAUUGAUCACUCUUGAGAACACACUCACUCCCAAAGGCACAAAAUAUUACAGUCUGAGCUUGAAAGCUGCUCAACAACUUUUCCCAUCGUUCUUCUAAUACCUUAUUUGUUGGCUCUGGCACAACUGGUCCAGCCAAUAUCACUGGCUUUUCAAAUUGUUUUUCAAUAUAAUCACAGUAAGGCCCUUCAAUCUCCCUACAUGUCUUGAAACCAAUAGCAUCACAUUCAUUUAAAGAAGUUAAUUGGCGCACCACGAAUGAAAUACCAUUUCCGUAUUCUUUUAUUGUCUCAGCAGCUAGUCCUCGAGCUUCAUAGUCACUUAACUUGAUACUUGAAUAAGGGAAACCUGGUGGAGGCUCCAUGAGAUCCGAUCCUGUCAAACCUUUCUCACGAAUCUUUCUUGUUGGACUGAUCAAAUAGGCAACAGUUGCGGAGCUAAUGGUACAGUAAUGCAUGGACUUGAUGCCUAGUUUGCGACACAACAGAGGCGACCAGGAAGCAAAAUCAUAGAAAAGGAAGUGGGGUUUGAGUUCACGGAGAGAAGCGUCAAUGGCUGGUUGUGUGAGAUCCAUUGCAGCCAUAAGGAGAGGUUGCAGUGCGAAAGGAAUAUCAGCUGUUGUUUCAAUGCCAAGAGGGAGGCCAUCAAUGUGAGGAACUUCAAAUGGAAUGAAGGUUAUGAGAUCGGGGUGAAGGUUGAAAGGCUCAAACUUGUGUUGUGUUUUGGUUGGCAAGAAGAAGGAGAUUUUGUGUCUUCUUUCUGCUAAUUUAUUGGAGAGAUGGAGAAAUGGGGUAAUAUGGCCAACUGCAAACCAUGGAUACAUCGCGAUGUGAAGCAUUUUUUCGCCCAUACUUGCUCUUUCAGCAUCAGCUAAAAUACAUGAUCAGCUAAAUAGGGACCAAACUUGAACUUAGAUGUCCUCAAAUGUAAGCAUUUAGCUUUAUAUAACGGCUAAUUUGGAACCAAACUUGAACCAAACUUGGGAUUUGAUUUUUUUUUUUUUAAACACUAGUCAUGGGAAACAGAAGAUAGAUAUUGAAAAUGUACGUUAGGAGCGAACAAAAAAAUAUUUUCAUGGUUCACAAUCAAAAUGAUAAAAAAAAUCUGAAGUGAAGUUGUUUUUUUUUUUUAAUUCAUAACUUGAGAUAAGAAACAAUUUUUAAAAUAUUAAAAUUGGAAACUUAAAUUACUGAAAUAAAACUUAUUGAAUAUAUAUUUUUUAAAAUAAUUACAUAAAUCAAUUAAAUUAAACAUUAAAUUUAAAUUUAAUGCCGUUUUCACUAGCUUGAUUACGUGUAAAUUAACCAAGGCAUAGAUGCAGUCUAUACUCGAUACUUCCGCUUCAAUUACAAGUUUCUAUUUGUAUCCACAAUCACACAUUUUGGCUAAUAUUUUCUAUAGAAUUUCUGUUCCUGUAAAAGCAUUAAGUCCUAUUAAAAAAAUCUUAAGUCAUAAAUCAUACUUGUAUUCAGUGUCCGUAUUGUUCUCAUGUAUUUGUAAAUAUGGAAGGGCAUUACACGUAUUAUAUAUGUGCAAGGGUGAGAUUGCACCCAACUUAGUCUCAUUGGAGAAUAACCCUUAAACAAUCUCGAACUUCAACCAAAACUACUAACAUUAAAAAAAAAAAAAAAAGCCUGUCUUUAUUAAUGCCAUCAACUUUAUUCCAAUGAGCUCUUUGUAUAAGCCAACCCAAGCAAAGAUGAUUGGAUUGGCCUAGCUAAUGCAAAGCAGGAAUCUGGAUUAACUGACAUCAACAACUCAAUUACAACAAUCUCAUUUGGAAGGCGGAUCUUGAGACGACGUUCGAUUAAACCUGCUUGAAACACAAAUGACAUGAAAACAUUAACCAAAGCCCACUAGCAACAGUAUAGGUUAGGACUUGUAUAUAAGAAAUGUAACAAAUUCUUACCAGGGGAAAUUUUUUUCCCACCAUAUAGCUCUUUUGUUAAGGGAUUGACAGCCCAAUGAUUGACACCCACCCGACUUGUAGGUUGGAACCCAACUAUUUUCCCUUCAGUUGACAAAACCACCUUUUCACCAAAAAAAAAGAAAGAAAGGACAUGCAUGCAAAUUAGAAAUAUAGAUGGAAACUUGAUUGCUUUAAACUUUUAAUCGUAUUUAUAUACUAACAAGCAACAAAACACAUAACAAACUUUAAUUGAGAUCCAAAUUCUAAUGAAAUGGAGCUACUCUAUACAGGUCCAGGACCGCAACCAAUUUUGCUGUUACAGUUGCCAGCCAAGUCAAUUUAAGUAGACACCAACACACAGUUCAAUACGUGGAUUCAUUUUUUCCACACAAGAUAAAGCUUGUCAAGAAUUAAACAAGUCAACUUAAGUACGCUCCCACUUUCCUUUUUCUCCCUCUUUUCUUUCCGAUACCUAGUAUAAAGCUAGAAAGAUGAUGGAAAAUAUAAAAGCAAAAUCUAAACCAAUGAGUUUACCUGAUAACUAGCAACAUCCUGGACAGAUGAUUUUAUAUCAGCAUCCAUUUUCUCCACAUCAGCAGAACUAGUUGAAUCGUCCUCACUAUUAGAAUUAGCUUGAUGAGGUGCUUUCAAGUAGUUUGGUAUUUCACCAAUCCAGGCACCAAGAUUGGUUUCUGUUGCUAUGUCACCAGGCCAGCCAAAGGCAUCCUUAAUCUUUCGGACUAACAAGAUACAAAAUGCCUCCAACUAUCCAUAUGAAGUCAAUAUAUUAAUUUUUACAUUAAAAGCAAAUUUUAAAUUUAAUAAAGAAGGAAAAAAAAAAGAAAAGAUAAAAGAGAACUGAAGUUUAAACAGGAAUUAUAAAGGAUUAAAGGCUUCAAACAUUAACCUCUAUAUUGUUAGGGAUGUUCACUUACAUGCAUUGGGGCCAUAUUAUUUACAAUUCAGACACUAACAAGUUUUAAAUUUAAUCUUGACAUUGUCUCUUAUCUUAGUGCAUUAGCCAGGAAUGUACUACGCCAAGUUCAAAUAUGACAUAUAAAUACACAGGCCAUUGUCUGUAGAAUGGUUCAGGCAUUAUUUGAAUAGUAUAUGGGUCUCUGAAGAAGCUAGCAUGUUUUUCCUUGCUAGAUCAGUGGAGAUGAUAGAAGCAUCAACUGUAAGAGAAGAAAUGGCAGUAUAACAUUUUAGAGACAGAGUCAGAAAUAGUUUUGAAGUACACUGCCUUCCACAAAGAACUGCAGAUCAUGGAAGGGAUGUGGUUCUAGUCUGGAGAAAUCAAAAAAUUGGGAAAAUAAGCAUUGAAUCUUGCCAUCUGAGCUUGGUUAAUCAUUGCUCCAUCUGAGUUUGGUUACACAUUGCUCUAACAAUAGUGCAAAUUGGUUAGCAAGCUAAAUUAGAAACAGGAUGUGACCUGAUGGCUGGGUCAUAAAACCUCUAUCCUUCGUGGUAUUUACUUUUUCUGAGCAUGGUUCAAGGCCUUCCUUAGAGGUUCUUUUCUCCUAUAUUUGGUUACAUGUACUAUUUCUUGUUGUUGCUAAAUCUUUCUUGAAUAAGAUUUCUCUUUGGUCCAAAAAUAAAAAGGGGCUCUAUACAGUGCAUUUCUAGAUCACAUGAAUGUUUUGGCAGCGAAGAAAAUGUGUAUAAGGUCACAAGGACUUUAAAAACAUGGCAAAUUUCUAGGAAAAACUUGUUCGCCUAUUCUAAUCUUUGCAUUAACUGAGCAUGGAUGCAAAAAUAAUACACAGAUAAAACUGAAAAUGAAUUAGUAGAAAGCUACAUAGUACACAGUAUAUUCCCACCUUUUCAGUGUCUACAGAUUGAAUUGUUGUAGACUCAAUAAUUGAUGACGAUGGAGACCUAGAUCCUCCAGGGUACUUUCCUCCUUUGCCUAGAUAAGGAAAACUAAAUUGACUGAGUGUACUGAUGGUAAUGAGAAGAAUUCCACUUGCAAUGGUGGCAGAUACCACUCUCAAGAAAGAAGAGCUCCUCUGUAAGAAAUAAAAACAAUUAGACAAUGCCAAUGAACUUAACUCAAUUCAUACCAACUAAACUCAAAACAUCAAACACCAAUUGCAACUUUUCAUGGCAAGAUCCUUCAAGAUCAUAAAAGCCUAAACCCCUCAGAAAGAAAAAACCACAAAAUAAUAGAAGAGAAACAAUGAAUUUGCAAAGAAGUCAAAUAUAGCAUACAGUUCAUGAAUUCUGAGAGGUAAUUUCAAACAUCCAUGUUAACUCUAUCCAGUGCUGGGUUUAACACUUUUCUAAGCAUUAUCAAGAUUUUUACACACACUUCCACAAUCAACAGCUUUGAAACUUCUUUAACAUUUUCUUAACUGAUUUAUUAAAUCGCAAAUUUUUACCAAUCACCUUCUAUCUUAAAAUUUCUAAAGAACCAAGGAGCCCAGCCGAUCGAAAAAGGUUAGCAAAACAAAACCAAACAACAACAAAGUUUCAACUUUUAACAUUUACCAAUAAGUAAAAACAGAGACAAUCAAUAUGCAUUUCAAUACCUUUGCUUUAGACAAGCUGUUAUAAUUGGCAACCACACCACUGUGUAGUUGUUUGUUAGGCAGUGAGUAGACAUCUUCAUAGUACAUAUCUAACAUAUCAGCCAGUCCAACCUACACAUUUUUAUAAGUUAGCAUCAAAAAGAGAAGCCAAACAUUCCAUAAAACAAUGCACAAUAGAAAACUAAAUACAACAUGAAAACUACACCUUAAUUAUCAAAAAGAAUUAUCCAGAUGAAAGACAAAUCAAAAGAUCAAACACUGAGAGGAAAGAAUAAAGUACCAUCUGGGAGUGUGUCAAAAGAACUUCCCACCUAUUCUCGUCAGAUUUUCUCCAUCCUUCAAACUUUACAUCCUUAAAUGUAUUUGCAUUGAUUUCCAGCCGAAAGGCAGGUAUAAACUCACUUGUCCAAGCACUAAACUCAUGACCACCAAUCUUUUUCAACUUAGAGUGCAAAGGUUGAGUCCACGCAUAGUUUUUCCUCCUCAAAUCCAUAGCCUUGAAACUCUCUUUACUCGAAUUAAAACUUUCAAGAAGACUCUUGGCAUUUUCAACCACCUCAUCUUCAAACGCUUCAUAUAUAAUAACCGAGGAAUCUUUUGAUACAAUAUUUUUCGACUUCCGAAACCACAGAAAGAAGUUAUAGGAAGUUUUUCCCAAUAAAUUUUCCAGGAAAUGUUUUUCAGUGCUUUGUAAAGCCAAGAUGCAAACAAGUUCACCCAGCACAGAGAUAACCCUUUCUUCCGACGAGCUGAGAGUGAACGAGGUGAGAACCUGCUGAUACGAAAUGCAUAACAAGAGAACUGAACCUAUCAGUAUCAAGUGGGACCUGCAGAAAAGACAUUAAUUAUAAAAGUCGACAUACAGAUAACGAAAAUAACAGAAUCCACAAAUAAGAAAUACUAACGGUUAUCUAACCUCUCUUGGGUUUUCAAGAUCCUCCAUAUCUCUUUGGGUUCCAGGACAAAACAAAACCAGUUCGAAACUCCAAAGCUUUUGCAUAACCACUUGCCUAAAUGUCAUUGCCAGUAUGUUUUUCGAUGAUGUUCCCGCUAAAAUUUCUUCAGACAGUGACUUUUUCAGCUUUUGAGCUUUUUCUUUAACUUUCCUAGCAGGCAAAAACUGUUCCAAAAAUUUAAAAUUAAAAGAUAAACAUUUAACAAUUAAUUUAUGAUUUGGAGAGGACAGAAAUGAGCUAACCAAUCGGGUUGAAACGGUGGCAUUUUUAGCGGUGGGGCCAGGGAAAACAGUUUCAAUAACCAUAGCAGGGAUACCGGACUCGACGUGCUCGGUAGCGGCUCGGCCUCCAUCGGCAGCUGCAGCCGUCAAAGCUUGGUCAAAGCCGACGGCUCCAACAAGGGUGAGGCGAGCGAGGUCGUUUUCGUAGGUCCGAACACAAGGGAGCGUGGUUCCAUCGGAGUCCGCUAUGAAUUUUAGGGCUUCCUGUUCGGUGGAUGGAGCUGGUUUCGGAGAAGAACGGGAGAGAAUAAGGAAGGGAAUUUUGGGGUUGCGGAAGGGUAGCUUGUGAAAAAAGGUGAACUUGUUAGAGGAAUGAGAGGGAAAUUUGAUGAGAAAUGGAGGGGAAAGUGAGUGAGUUAAAGCCAUUGAUGGAGCAGCCAUUGAUGGAGCAGAGCAGAGGGUUUUGGGGAUUUUGGGAGGUUUUUUAUUUUAAAACGUUGAGGUAGGCGCAUGUUAGCAACAUGUACACGUGGCCAGAUUUAGGCUUAAUGAGUUGUUAGGUUUUGGGAUUCAGCUGUUUUCCAAGAAACGAGGUCGUUUUGGACCUUAAGACACCGCUUUGGAAAAUACUAUAAAUAUCAACUUCUCACUUUCUCAGAGGCGGAAGAAAUUACUAUCCAUUGACAAAUAAAAAAAAUCCUCAGCAGGUAUUUUCGCCUAUCCUUUGAAAAGCAUCGAAAAAGUUUAGGGUUUCCUUUUUUCUCGCUAAUUGAAAUUGCCCUCUGGUAAGUUCGAUUAUUUAAUUUCUUUUCCUCGUUGAUGAAAUUCGAGUUAUAGUCGUUAUCAUUUGUUUCCAAAUAAACUUUUAAUUUUUUCUGCUUCUUUAAAUUUGGUGGAUAUUUUCAUCGAUAGGGUUGGUUAGCUUUUGGAAUCUGCCCUAAUUUUUAUUUUCCUGUUGCUUAUCCUUAAGAAGAAAAGAAAAUUAAAGAAGGGUUUAAACUUUUUGUGAGAAAUUUGAGGAAAAAGAAAAUAGAUUUGGUUUUACCGCUUAACCUAAUUAUUUAUCCCCAAAAAAAGAAAGCCUGAAAUAAUUAGUUACGGUUUGAAGUGAAAAAUCUGAUUUUUGGUGGGAAUUCUUUAAAUUUGUCUUAAAUCUGAAAUUUUUAUGCUCAUUCUGGUUGUAAAUUGACAUGAUGAAGGAAUUGAAGUAUGGGAAAGAGGAAAUCAAGAGCAAAGCCAGCUCCUAAGAAGCGAAUGGAUAAGCUUGACACUGUUUUCAGCUGUCCCUUUUGUAACCAUGGAACCAGUGUUGAGUGCCGCCUGUAAGUAUAAACUUCUUAUAUUUGUUUUAUGAGAAUUUUACCCUUAUUUGGAUCUAAUAGCUGAGAUAAUUUGAGGCAAUACCUCCUACUCUGUGGUUAGUAAACCAUUUUAUCUUUGAUGAAGAUAAAAGAGAAAACGUGUGUUAUGUGAAAAAUGAUUUCUUGUGUCGUAAGGAUUUAUCUAUGUUAUAAUUCGGAGUACUAAGUAUUGGUGUUUAUCUGUUCCAGUGAUAUGAAGAACUUGAUUGGCGAAGCCUCUUGCAGGAUAUGCCAGGAAAGUUUCAGCACCGUUAUAACAGGUACUCAUGAUACGAUAAUUUUUGGCUGAUAAAGAACAUGAAGUUUUUUGUAGUGGUGAUGAAAACUAAGUUGGCAGUCUUUUUGUUAACUCAUGCACGUUUCUUUUGUCUCUGUAUUUGCAGCUUUGACUGAACCAAUAGACAUGUAAGUGCUAUCAAUGUGGUGUUUAAUCUCUGUUUCUCUCUAGCUUGAUCUCCCUUUAUAUUUAUUCUUCUUGUGACUUUCCAGAUACAGCGAGUGGAUCGACGAAUGUGAGCGGGUUAACAACCUUGAAGAUGAUGGAGAUCAGGAUGAAGGUUAUGUGCCUAGAAAACGGGUUUCAACGUCUGAAUGGGAUUAGCAGUAGCCAGGAAUGUUUUAGAACUUGCUACGCCUGUAAUUAUGCUAGUUUCUGGGGGGAAUAGUUGGUGUGGGGGUAAUCUUUGCACAUGUAACAGCAUCUCAUGAUGAAUAGCCUAAGUUAUCGAUUCUGGUAAGGGAGCACUUUGUCGAAGGGCUAUUAGCUAUUGUUUCGUGCUGUAUGAACCAAUUUAUUUUGAUGUAAUGCAAUUACUUUAUGCUAUUCCGAAUGAUGGUUUGCAGAUAUAAUUGGACAAGCCAUUGGCUGAUGAGACAUUUUCCUAAUUUUUAAAGGGUUAAAAUUUAAAAAAGAUAUUUUUUACAUGCUGCAGCUCGUGGUUGGGCAAAGUUAUGCAGUGUAAUCUCAGAAUAUUGAAACAUGAAAGGAUUUUCAAUAGCAGGCAAUAUUCACACAAUCAUCAUUUUUCUUGAAUAUCUUGUUUUUACUAUCUGCUAUCCUCUGUAUCACACCUUCCCUCAAGAAAACAGUCGAAAAUUUCGUACGAGUGCUAAAUCCAAAAUCAUUUACAAGCAUAGAUCAAGUGAUAAUGACUCAAGAAAUGUCUUUGAUUAUGUACCCAGUUACAGGCUGAGAUAUCUUUCAUGAGCAGCUGAAAGAUUUAGGCAUUUAGCAUAUAGUAUUUAAAACCCUAGAAAUACAAUUAGCUUCUAUUGUUUACCAUGUCUUAGUAGGUAUAAAAAUGGACUGACGAAAAACAGCCAUUUCUCUUUGCUUGUAACCGUCUUCCAGAAGUUAGAUUGAGCGCCAGCACCAAGGAUCGUCAACAACUAAUACAUAACUUCUGUGUGCAAGUGAACUAUACAAAUUUAUGGUCACCAAAAAUAAGAGCUAGACUUGGUUUUCUGAGAAUGAACUGCAAAAAGGACUUGAAAAAAUGCAUAGUUUCCACCCCUUCAACAAGUUAAAAUGCUUCAGCAGAUAUAUAACUAGACGAAUGGAUGCAGCUACUUCAUCUUUUAUCAGGAUUUCUUCAAUUAGGUUAGAUAAUAGCCAUUUAAAUUAUCAACAAGAUAGUCAUACUGCACACCAAGCCCAUAAUCGAGCUCGUCACUUGUUGGUGUCGCAUUAAUCUUAGCCCUUCCUUUGACACAGCGCUUAUUAUCAGAUGGGAACUCUGCAGUGAGCCUUCCCAUCUGCUUCUGCAAAUCAGCAACUGUAUCACUCGCUGAUUUCCCCUUUGCACUUUUCUUACCAUCGACAAGCUUCAAUUCCAAUCUAUACAAGGCACAAGCAUCACAUUUGUUGAUCUCAUAUUCGUAAAGGUGCCACUCAAAAUGGUUUAGUGGCUGUGGAUCCAUGUAGUAUGAUCUCUUCAGUCCUCCAAAUUCAUUCAUGACUUGCUUUCUUGACUCAUGCCAGCCACGCCCACUGUAAUCUGGCAAAGACCUCUGCUUUCUGUUCCCACUUUCAAAUGCCCUUCGAGGCUUAUCAAAAAAGAGCCACUCCCUAAUUGAUUCACCAUCAAGAACCGAAAGAUCAAAGAGCUCUGUAAUCACAGGAGAAAAUUAAUUAACUUAACAAAAGUCAUAAAGAACAUAGUGCAUGAUUAGAGAACAUAUUCUGUUCUCACUCAAAAGUUGCCACUAUAACCAAGCAAUAUUGAUAAGACAUACCAGGAGCAUUCCAUGGAGACUUUGCAGUUGCAGCUCCCUCACAUUCUGGUAUACCCACAUCUUUUCCUUGUGCCUUAGCACUAAGAGCAGAAAAGAGCAGACAAUCCUUGAGGCCUAUGCCACCAGGUCGCAGGACAGGGCCCAUUCCAGGUGGGCCUUCAUUCAUUGCCAAAGCAGCAUGAAAGCUACUGCAGUAGUCCUGACACCAGUCCAACCCUUGAGCAGGCCUUGGACAAUCCCAAAGUGCACACUUUGGACCUAAGAAUGCAGCUGGUGGCGGGCAUAUACUUGGCAGAUAGCUAGAAGUAUGAGGCAAGGCAUCCUCCCCACAGAAACCGGUACCAUUGAAACCUGCGUAGAAGUGCUCAAAAUCCUGAUGCAAAUCGAACUGAUGGUAUUCCAAUUGUGUAGCCCCUUCGAAGUUGUUAACUGACAUGGCACGGAUGCCUGAAGGUGACUCUUUGUUAUGAUCAACUAAUGGAAAGCCGCGUUCAUGUUGAUCCUGAUUCACUCCAUAACUCUGUAAGAGCAUAUUGAUUAUAAAACUUGCCAGUGAAAAACUUUUUCAACAUAAUAACAUGUCAAAGCAAAAUGGAAACAGUUAACUACAAAACAUGCAAGAAAUAUAAUUAAGAGAAAAACCAAUGGAUACAAACAUUAGCUCAAGGGAAAGAUAAUGUUUUAAUGCAAAAGUAUAAACAAGAAAAAGCAAAUUAAAGCCCCAGUAAGCUCAACCCAAGAGGUGUAAAAGCAUGCAUAAAGCCGAACAUGGGGAAAGUACACAUCAGCAAUUGGUUUAUGCUUUGACCAUCCAUUCUAACAAUAUAAGGGAAAAAAUUCAUCAACUUCUCAAACUUGUCAACUCUACACAACAAAGCAGCCCAGAAGCACACUCUAGGUACUCAGGCCCUAUUAGGCAGAAGUUUGGUCUCUCGUCAUGUGGCCAUUACCCUUUCCCCACAAAAUCGGCUUAUUAGGGUGUGCCACACCAACGUUUAUACGCCCAAUGACUUCUCCUUUCCUAUCCGAUGUGGGAUUAAUGCACCCUGCCUGCUCCUUUUGAGCAAUUGGCAUGACAUUCUACCCCACCAAGUCUCGUGAUGCCCUUGUCAUGGUUGCCACCCCACCGGCUCCCCUUUGGAGUACUUGACGUGGUCAAACUUUGCCACUGCCUUACCGCAGCACCUUGUUAAGUAGCUAGAAUAGCCCACCUUGCCUACUUCCACUGGGGCACUUAGCGUAGAGUUAGAUGAGUCAACGGUUGGCUCUAAUACCACUUGAUCUACAUGCAUGAUAAUUCCAUACCGCACACCCCCACUCCACAUGACUAACAUGCCAGGCUCAGUCUUCUCACCUAAGGCCAAUAAAGUAAGAUGGCAGCAAAGCAAUUAUUUGAUAGGUAUCUAUAAUAAUAAUAAUAUACUAUACUAUCAAAAUCUUAAUUGGCUCAAUUUAGAUUUAAGUGGCAAUUCCAAAUGAACGAUAAUUCACUGCAAUUACACUGACAUGAUUUGCAAACUAAAUGUUAACAAGAAGAAUACAAGAGUGCAGUGUUCAUUAGACAGAAAAUAUGAUAAGUGAUUAUUGGGCUGUGAGAAGAUAUCUUAGAAUGAAAUCCACCAGUUAUCCCUGUCUUCCUAUUCAUUGAGUGCGCAAUCAAUGAAACAUAUUUGAUGCUCUUACAGAAUAUCCUAUAUCCUGCUGAUAAAAAAUCUAUGUAUCAUAUAUCCUCCCAUGUUUUUCACAGCGAAACACAAUUAUUGAGGAAACCAAUAACAGAACAUUACUUAUCACAACCCUAUUAAAGAGAAUUGCAAGCAUAUUGUAGUAGCCUUCUGUACUCUGUAACAUCAAUCCAGGAAAAAAACAAAUUAGAAACGAUCAAGUAGCAUAAUUUUCCAUUGUUUCUCUCAUUUACCACAUUUUAAAAACUAAAAACAAUCAUGAACAUAUAUAAACAUACACAGCUCCAAAUCCUGUGCUUACAUAAGAAGCAACCAAAUGCCUUCCAACAAUAUAGAAAUCUCAUCCCUUAGAAUGGACAACUUAACUUGAAGCUCAUGUUGGUCUAAGCAUACUCAAUAAACCUGUUUUCAGUCCAGCCAUUAUGCAAAUUCCAAAAGAAAAUGAAAAAGCAAAGAAUCCAAGGACAAAUAGAAAUCACCUCUUGGAAAGCAGCAGCAUCUCCUACUUGCAGGCUUUGAUCAUUAGGCUCUGGCUUUGGUGCAGCUAAUAUACUAGUGGCAUCAUCUUCCUCCUCGCAAAGCUGCAACAGCCGACAAAUGUCUGACGAAAAUGAACCAAGACUCCCACCCUGUAAAUCACCAUGAAGAUCACAAUUCACAAUCACAAACUUUAGACUGUAUUUUCAACCCCAUAAGAUUAAAAUUCAUGAGCAUUUAUCUUAGUUACAUUCUGUAACAGCCAGACCAAACCCUUCAAACAGCAUACAACCUACUAAACCAUACAUUCACACAAACUCACACUGAUAUAAAUUUUACAUAUAAUUCAAAUAAAAAUUUAUAUAAGCAGUGCUAACUUGUUGCAAUGAAGACGCUGGAGAAGGUUCAUUAAGCUCAGCUUUCCAUUCACGGAGCAUCUGAUGGACUUGCUCCUCAAGGACUGUGACAUCAAUGCUGCGACUCUCCUUCCUGGCAAAUUGCAGAUCCAAGAAAAUUCCUUGCAGAUCAUCCACCAGGUUUUUUGCCCUGUCCAAGAGUUUUGGAUGCUGACUUGAGUUGGUUUUCGAACCUUUCCCAUAGGAUAAACAAGCUCAUCAUUCGCAUCCAAAAAAUGCAUUAAAGCGCAAUAAAAUGCAACACAAGGUCAACCCAGAUGAAAAUUCAAUCCAAUAAUCACUAGUCUUAUUCCUAAAUUUUAUAACUAAAUAUCAGUUUACAACUAACAAUAGUGGAAAAAACAAAACAUCAAAAAUUAAACACAAGGCACUGAGAUUGCUGAGAUUGCAACAGUUAUCUAAUUACCAUUAAAAAAAACCAAACUAUAAAAUAUUAUAGAAAUCACGGUUAAUAAAUUUACAUCAAACCAAUAUAAACUAAAGUCCCAUAAACAAGAAAAUUAAAUAAAAAAAAAACCAACCUGAAUUAUAUAUAAAAAGAAAAGCACCCCAAUUUCCCAAAUACCUUAAAACUGAGAUUAAAACAAGGCAGCAUGAGAUCAAAGGCAAAUUGUAGAAUCAAAAUAGAUGGAAAUAGUUAUCCUAGAAAUCUAACCGGAGAAUGAUCAAAGACUCAGGAGUUCCUCGACUUUGUAUGGAGCAACCUCUGAGACAAAAGUAGAGUGAGAGAAAUGGAGAAAAAGAAAGUGCUGGGAAAUUACAAGAAAGAGAGAAAAGUAAAUAUUCUAUGAAACAAAAGAGUCCACUGUUCAUUCAGCCAAAGAAAACUACUAAAAGAAGAGAUGCUCCUUGCCACUAUGUGUUUGCUUUUCUUUUUCUUUUUUUUUUUUUUUUGAGGUUUGGUUUUAAUUUUAUUUUCCCAAUUUCCAAUCAGGAAGGCAUUUUUUGGGUUUUUUUUUUUUUUUUAAGGAAAUAAAUUGAAGAAGGCAAUGUGUACAUAACGCAGUAACGCGGCAAAAGUUAAAC